RNAcentral lists this ribosomal RNA (253 nucleotides) under uncultured bacterium. RNAcentral describes it as "partial 16S ribosomal RNA". It matches the Rfam family "Bacterial small subunit ribosomal RNA", at positions 524 to 776 of the family's 1533-position model. The record is from RNAcentral.
UACAGAGGGUGCGAGCGUUGUCCGGAAUCACUGGGCGUAAAGGGCGCGUAGGUGGCUCGUUAAGUGUGUGGUGAAAGCCUGGGGCUCAACCCCAGGUCUGCCGUGCGAACUGGCGAGCUUGAGCAGAGUAGAGGCGGGUGGAAUUUCGGGUGUAGCGGUGGAAUGCGUAGAUAUCCGAAAGAACACCGGUGGCGAAGGCGGCCCGCUGGGCUCUUGCUGACACUGAUGCGCGACAGCGUGGGGAGCAAACAGG